UACGUAGGGGGCAAGCGUUGUUCGGAAUUACUGGGCGUAAAGGGCGCGUAGGCGGUUCGACAAGUCGGGAGUGAAAGCCCGGGGCUCAACCCCGGGACUGCUUUCGAAACUGUCGAACUUGAGUGCAGAAGAGGCAACUGGAAUUCCCAGUGUAGCGGUGAAAUGCGUAGAUAUUGGGAAGAACACCUGAGGCGAAGGCGGGUUGCUGGGCUGACACUGACGCUGAGGCGCGAAAGCCAGGGGAGCGAACGGG
This 253-nucleotide ribosomal RNA is filed under the name uncultured bacterium. Its description in RNAcentral is "partial 16S ribosomal RNA". It matches the Rfam family "Bacterial small subunit ribosomal RNA", at positions 524 to 776 of the family's 1533-position model. The record is from RNAcentral.